This 1167-nucleotide ribosomal RNA is filed under the name Triticum aestivum (bread wheat). RNAcentral describes it as "partial small subunit ribosomal RNA". The record is from RNAcentral. Lineage: Eukaryota; Viridiplantae; Streptophyta; Magnoliopsida; Poales; Poaceae.
AUGGCGCUAUCUGAUCUCAAGUUCGAGCCAGGGAAAGCUUUUGAAGAAUACAUCAAGAAGCAGUGCGGUGUUUCAAUUAAUUGUUCUACAAAUCAUGGCUCUGGUAAAUUCUUUCUGGUGGUGAAUUUCAAUAGCUCUAAGCUCCGUCUGAAUCUAGACUCUGUUGGUCUAAUUCUUCAAGCUUGCUUCGGUGGAGAGGCCAAGCGCUUCUGCGUGUCUCAUUUGAAAGAUUGGUCCUUUAAGUUCCGUGUUUCCACACCUGAGGUGGGCUUUGAGAUUAUUAGGGGGGCAGGGGUUUCUAAUUCUCGUUGGACUUAUGCUCAAGCAGUUCAAGAACCGAGAUUCUUUUCUCCUCGAGAUCAUCCUGCCCAGUUUUUUCAAAAUUCAGUUUCAGUUUUGGAUCGCCUAGCAGGAUCAGAGCAUGGUGUUAAUUUGGUCUUAACUGCUCCCAACAAUGUCGCCCUUGGGAGGGCGGGAUCAGGGCGUUCUCAAAUUUUAAUCGGGUCUGGUAACUCGGAUCUCUCGGCCCAGCCCAAGUCAAAUUUCUUCUGUGUGAGGUGCCUCAUGUCGGGCCAUGUCAGAUCCAGUUGUACAAACAAAAUAAAGUGCAAAGCCUACAAACAUUGGGGACAUAUCGCAAUCAACUGUAGAUUCAUGGGCGAAGCUGACAGUCCGCCUUCCCAAUCUGUCAGGAUCAAUCAACCCUUUUUGGAAACCAGCCGUAAUGAGCGUGAGGUGGGUUGGUCGGGUCCACUUGUCAGAGACACAAUCGUUUCGUAUUCCUAUAAUUGGGAAUCUCCUGGUCUUUUGUCGAUUACUUCUCGGGACGGUGCUGCUAUUCACCCCCGCAGUCCACCUUCAUCUCGCUCUCCCCACAUUGAAAGGAUUUCACCUUUGCUCCACCUCUCUCAUCAGUCUCCGCCGAGGCCACUAUCAGUGAUGGCAACUUUCCCCUUUGAUCCAACACCGUUCUUGUUGCUGGGAACCAUGCCAUUGAAGUGGAAGGUAGACCUGCUAGGGCGCGAGUCAUUCAUGGUCCAAUGCCUGCAGCUAAUGAAAAUCUCGCCAUUGCCACGUUGGUACCUAUGCCCCAAGGUGAAGUGGCCUUUGCUAAUGUCCGAGAGGUUUUAUCAGAUUUUCUUGUUUCUCAGAGGGUUUUCCAGCUGA